Pipistrellus kuhlii (Kuhl's pipistrelle) is the source of this 811-nucleotide long non-coding RNA. RefSeq lists it as uncharacterized. The transcript has 2 exons. The record is from RefSeq and is a predicted model, not a curated record. NCBI's taxonomy places the organism in Eukaryota, Metazoa, Chordata, Mammalia, Chiroptera, Vespertilionidae.
UGUUUUCUCUCAAUGAAGUCUUCCUUGUCACUUAAGUCUCAGUUUAGUUGCUAAAUUCUCAAAAAAUCAAAAAAAAAAAAAAAAUUCCUGAGUCUUUCUCCUGUUCCCUUUGGUAAGAACUAAUUGAUACUCCUUCUAUCCUAACAUUUAAACCUUAAUGAUAAUUUUUAGAAGCAUAGUUGUAACAUACUCUUAAAACAUCAUAAUGUCUGGCAAUAUUAGAUUCUAGGUUGUCACUACAAGAAAAACUUCAGUCACUAUACAUUCAUGUUGAAAACCUUCAAGAAAAAAACUAUUUAGAAAUGUACUUUUUAAAAUGAAAGGAGUCAGAUUUAAGAAAAAAUUGAAGUCCUUAAAAUAUGCCUCUUGAAUCUAGGCAUUUACUUUAUUCAGGGUCAUUCAUUCCUUUUGUACUUGUAGUAUUUUUUAAAGAAUCUUGUAUUAAGACCACACCUAAAAUGUUUUUGUGGAAAUUAUAGGUAAAUAACAAGUUUUCUCAUUAAAAUAGAUGAAUACAUGUGUAGUCUCUUAAUAUACCUUUUAUCCUACUAUAAUGAUAAUAGUGAUAAUGGACAUUCUUGUCUUGUUUCAGAUCUAAAUAAUGUAUUUUUAGGUUUCUUCACUAAGUGUGAUACUGGCUUUUAAGCCUGUGUAUUAUGCAUAUAUAUAUUUCCCAUGUUAAAUAUCUACUUAUUUUAUUGACUUGUGAGAUGUGUUAAGUUUAUCAGAUUUAAGUGCCUGUGGAGAUAAAAAUAUUUUUCCUAAUGUUUUUUCAUGGCAAAACUAAAUAAAUAAAUUUUAUUAUAUUGAA